GGUUCGCCUGGCAGCUGGAAGCGACCUGCGGGCUCCGGUACGCGGAUGGACUUGUGGAAGCGAGACCCGUCCCAGCACGGCGCUUGCCGCUCGGGGCGCGCUUCUGCCCGUACCGAUAGGAAACGGCGGCCGCUUGUCUCCGUAGCCACCUGUGGACUUCCCUUGGAAAACUAUUUUAGAAAAGUAAUCUCGGCUUGCUGCUCCGCUCUGGUGAAAGUUCUGCCGCAAACACACUGUAUUGUGCAUGAAAUUGUUAUGUAGGCAUUGUGCCAUGUAAAAUCCCAUCCUCUCUUCGUUGAUAAAUGACACCUAACGCAUCAAGCAAUGGGCGACCGCCACGCUUGGAUGUCUCAAUGUGUCCCUUGACUUCGCUUGCUACUCUGAACGGCAUUAAAAAGCAAACCAAGGCACUGAUCUGAAGCCCUGAAGGGUAUGACUCACUGACAUAACAAUACAUUGUAGUAUCUCCUGGAUAAUUACACUGCAUCAUGUCACAACAAAGUAUUGUUGAAAUAUUAUCAUGUAGCUCAUAAAGUGUGAUUUUUUUUAUUGUAAGCCUAUAAAAUAAACAAAAUUGUUGUGUUAGAACAGACGUGCAGGCUCAAAGCAUUUUGUUAUGGCUGUGAAAAUGAGCUGUAGCAGUAAAUGCACUCAAUAUAACACAAAUCCCAA
This is a long non-coding RNA of Centrocercus urophasianus (Greater sage-grouse), 672 nucleotides long. RefSeq lists it as uncharacterized. The record is from RefSeq and is a predicted model, not a curated record. The transcript is spliced from 2 exons. NCBI's taxonomy places the organism in Eukaryota, Metazoa, Chordata, Aves, Galliformes, Phasianidae.